UUGCAGGGGGAAGAAUGAAUUCACUUUAAAUGCCGAUGGAGGAGCCCAGCACCGAUCCCAAGGGAGCCUGGCACAGCAGGGAUAAAUCCCAUCUCCAUCCUACAGCGUUUUAUCCCUCAAAUUUAGAAGCGUGCCCCAAAUUUUGAUUAUGUUCCCUACCAAUUUUUUUCCCUGCUUGAAAUUUGAGAUGCAGUUUUUUGGGUGGGAGGAAACCGAAGCUGCCUUGCAGGGGCUUGGGAGAUGAAAUGACUCCUGUUCCCGCUUGCUGCCUUCCACCCCCGAUCAUCUCCAGCCCCCCUGGAGCAUCGCCCCGUGCCGGCACCCGUGGCAGAGGACAGGUGCUGCAGCCACCCGCUCAAAUCCCUGCGGAUGAAAGAGCGGAAACCGCUGAUUCAUCCCCGGGCGAGCCUGCCCCAAGCGCUGGUGUGUGGAUGUGCCCCAACGAGGAGCGCUGGCAGGGGGGACGCCGUCCCCACGGAGCAUCACUCGGCAGUGGUGACCGGGAUCUUGGCUGGGUCGGGGGAUGCUCCAGCAGCAUGAAAUCCCCUUCAGGAAAGAGCCUGGCUUCAGAAAAAACUACUUUAAUCACCCCAAAAGCGAAGUGCUGAGCUGAGAUGCCCCAACCCACUGCUCUUUGGGCUUUUUUGUUUAAUGUUUGGACAUUAUUUCUUUCCGCAGCCCCUGAGGGGAGGGCACGGUGCCGGGUGGAAACUGCGGCUGCUCCAGGCCCUUUGCUCUGUGCCCAAGCAGCACUGGAGUGGGGAGAACACCCAUGUCAGAGCCCCAGGAAGGGCCAUGCUGUUCCAUAAGGAGCAUUGUUAAUUUGAAGGAUAACUAGCUUAUUACAUAGAGGCUUGGGGGGGGCUGAAAUUGCACAGGGUUUUUUGGUGGGGGGAGGGUUUAAGGAGCUUAUGGAGCUUCGCAGCCGGAGCCAGGGAGCUCAGCCCCAGCAGCAGCCGGUCCCAGCGGGUGGAGGGGCCCUGCCGCAGCCCCCCACUGUCCCAGCCAAGGAAAUCCUCUUAGGGGUCACAGGGUUCAGCCCCAUGUCCCCGCCCCUUAUGGCACAGAAAAGGGGACUGUGGCAUCCCCCUGACCUUUAAGAGGUCUGAGGAGCAGCAUGGGGCACUCACGCCAGGGUGGGGACCAACAGUGCCAGUGUUCCCAGCACUGGCUGUCCCUAAGCCCUUGGCCCUGCUCUCAGCCCCUGUUUAUCCCAUCCUGCUGUCACCAAGCAGUGCCCACAGCUGCAGCAGCUUAGGAGGGCGCCUGGGCGGCCCCCAGGACAUGGUCCCCUGUCCGGGCUCCUCUCCAGCCAUCUGCCACCCCCUGGCCCAGAUCAAGCGUGCCGGUAUCUCCUGGCCACCGGCAGAGAUGCCAGUGGGGUGGGAGGGGAAACUGAGGCAUGAGGCAGGCAGGAGUGAGGCCAUGCAGGGGGCUGGCAGUAGAACCCAGAGGAGACUCCAUGC
Molecule: long non-coding RNA, 1466 nt
Organism: Parus major (Great Tit)
Lineage: Eukaryota; Metazoa; Chordata; Aves; Passeriformes; Paridae
Exons: 3
Source: RefSeq, a predicted model, not a curated record